This is a long non-coding RNA of Tupaia belangeri chinensis (Chinese tree shrew), 885 nucleotides long. RefSeq lists it as uncharacterized. Lineage: Eukaryota; Metazoa; Chordata; Mammalia; Scandentia; Tupaiidae. The record is from RefSeq and is a predicted model, not a curated record. The transcript is spliced from 3 exons.
UUAAAACAAGCUGUCUGUUGGUAGGUGAAGCAUACAAAAGCCGUUAUUUGCAUCCUCUAGGCCAUUUACUGUGAAAGAUGCUGAGAUACAAAAUUCAGGCAGGAAAGCUGAAUAAAACAAGGCGUGGUUGAGGCGCCCUGGGCAAGUUAUUGGACGUCUGCCCUCGCAUUUCCUGUUUGUAGGAGGUAAGCAAUGGCAGCUGCUGGGCUAGGGUUUCUGAAAGAGACGCUGGGACAGAAAACAGCUCAGGUUGCUGGUUCUUUCACUUCAGCGGUUGAGGCUGCAGCAUCGGAUAUAGGUGAGGUUGCCCCUUCGGUCUCCAUGGCAACGCUGGAGGGGGCGGCAGAGAAAGGCCGCCCUCCACCUUACACGCCACCUCGCCAGCUCGGACCUCCAGACACACUCUGGUGCUCCGCCAGGGGGAGCCCAGCUCCAAGUUCUGGUCCUCCGCGAACUCCAGUCGUCAUGGCAGCGGCCAGGAAGGACAAGGCGCUUUCCAGCAGGGUCCGGCUUCACUAGCUCCAGGCCCUCCAGCCAGAUAAGGGUGAGGGGUGGUCAGCUGGCCGUGUCCUGUCAUCCCUGCCAGGUAGCUAUUGCCUUAGUUAAUAGAUGAAGAGCUGAGUCGUGCUAAUGUUAAGGAACUUGCCCAACACCACAGUAAUACAUGAAAGAGCUGAAAGAGCUGGAACCAGACAGUGGCCUGCCUGCCUUUGGAGCUGUGUUCUUAACUGGACCUUUGGUGCUACCAGGAAUUAAUGUUAAAAAUCUAAUCCCAGAGCUGGCUCCCCAGCACAGCAGAAAUAGACUGCUCAAGAGAGGCUGGCUCACACAUUGCAACUGCAGUUAGAAUCUGCCGGCAGGUCAGCUAGAAACACUGCAGGCACA